RNAcentral lists this ribosomal RNA (433 nucleotides) under uncultured bacterium. Its description in RNAcentral is "partial 16S ribosomal RNA". It matches the Rfam family "Bacterial small subunit ribosomal RNA", at positions 29 to 507 of the family's 1533-position model. The record is from RNAcentral.
AACGAACGCUGCCUGCAUGCCUAACACAUGCAAGUCGAACGAGACCUUCGGGUCUAGUGGCGCACGGGUGCGUAACGCGUGGGAACCUGCCCUUAGGUUCGGAAUAACCCCCCGAAAGGGGUGCUAAUACCCGCUUAUGUCUUCGGACCAUAGAUUUAUCGCCUUUGGAUGGGUCCGCGUUGGAUUAGCUAGUUGGUAGGGUAAUAGCCUACCAAGGCGACGAUCCAUAGCUGGUCUGAUAGGAUGCUCAGCCACACUGGGACUGAGACACGGCCCAGACUCCUACGGGAGGCAGCAGUGGGGAAUAUUGGACAACGGGCGAAAGCCUGAUCCAGCAAUGCCGCGUGAGUGAUGAAGGCCUUAGGGUUGUAAAGCUCUUUUACCCGGGAUGAUAAUGACAGUACCGGGAGAAUAAGCUCCGGCUAACUCCGUG